UGGGGAAUAUUGCACAAUGGGCGCAAGCCUGAUGCAGCCAUGCCGCGUGUAUGAAGAAGGCCUUCGGGUUGUAAAGUACUUUCAGCGGGGAGGAAGGGAGUAAAGUUAAUACCUUUGCUCAUUGACGUUACCCGCAGAAGAAGCACCGGCUAACUCCGUGCCAGCAGCCGCGGUAAUACGGAGGGUGCAAGCGUUAAUCGGAAUUACUGGGCGUAAAGCGCACGCAGGCGGUUGAUUGAGUCAGAUGUGAAAUCCCCGGGCUUAACCCGGGAAUUGCAUCUGAUACUGGUCAGCUAGAGUCUUGUAGAGGGGGGUAGAAUUCCAUGUGUAGCGAUGAAAUGCGUAGAGAUGUGGAGGAAUACCGGUGGCGAAGGCGGCCCCCUGGACAAAGACUGACGCUCAGGUGCGAAAGCGUGGGGAGCAAACAGG
Molecule: ribosomal RNA, 429 nt
Filed under: Chloroflexota bacterium
Lineage: Bacteria; Bacillati; Chloroflexota
Description: Chloroflexi bacterium partial 16S ribosomal RNA
Rfam family: Bacterial small subunit ribosomal RNA
Source: RNAcentral